Drosophila innubila is the source of this 122-nucleotide long non-coding RNA. RefSeq lists it as uncharacterized. NCBI's taxonomy places the organism in Eukaryota, Metazoa, Arthropoda, Insecta, Diptera, Drosophilidae. The transcript is spliced from 2 exons. The record is from RefSeq and is a predicted model, not a curated record.
UUUGUGUGUGUGUUGUGUGUGUGUAUGUGUAUACGCACUUAAUGUAGUCUGUCAGCCCAGUAAGAGUUUUACAAGCACUUGAUAAGCUUUACAUGUGUUAAGAGACUGCACAGUGUCAUCCA